GUAGGUGGCAAGCGUUGUCCGGAAUUAUUGGGCGUAAAGCGCGCGCAGGCGGUUCUUUAAGUCUGAUGUGAAAGCCCACGGCUCAACCGUGGAGGGUCACUGGAAACUGGAGAACUUGAGUACAGAAGAGGAAAGCGGAAUUCCACGUGUAGCGGUGAAAUGCGUAGAGAUGUGGAGGAACACCAGUGGCGAAGGCGGCUUUCUGGUCUGUAACUGACGCUGAGGCGCGAAAGCGUGGGGGAGCAAACAGGAUUAGAUACCCUGGUAGUCCACGCCGUAAACGAUGAGUGCUAAGUGUUAGGGGGUUUCCGCCCCUUAGUGCUGCAGCUAACGCAUUAAGCACUCCGCCUGGGAGUACGGCCGCAAGGCUG
RNAcentral lists this ribosomal RNA (371 nucleotides) under uncultured organism. Its description in RNAcentral is "partial 16S ribosomal RNA". It matches the Rfam family "Bacterial small subunit ribosomal RNA", at positions 527 to 896 of the family's 1533-position model. The record is from RNAcentral.